Pocillopora damicornis (cauliflower coral) is the source of this 776-nucleotide unclassified non-coding RNA. NCBI's taxonomy places the organism in Eukaryota, Metazoa, Cnidaria, Anthozoa, Scleractinia, Pocilloporidae. The record is from RefSeq and is a predicted model, not a curated record.
GUACACAAAGACGGCCGAUAAAAAUUGUGAAAUCCCGGGGUGACGUCACAUGCAAACCAACAAUUCGUAAGUUCAGCUCGACUACAAUAAAUCCUUAUUUCGCAGAAGAGCAAUUACUGACCAACUCUUCUUGCAUAUUGCCCUAUUUCUAUUUGGACGCCUGUAAUAGCAUCGAAGCCGGAGCUUAUUCCCCAGUCAUGAUCACCGAAAUGCUCAGUUCUGCUUGCGUCGUCCUAUUAGUUGUUGUUAUCUGCUGUGUGAUCAAACUCUACAACAUGGUAAAAAUCAUCCGACCAUCAGGGAAUGAAAGAGCUCGUGUGGAGUACGCCAGAGAGAAUCAGAGAGCCUUACCAGUAGAGGGGGAACCCACACUUCCUUUUCCUCGUGUAGAGGAAAGCGCAAGACAACAUUGUACAUGUAACAAUACAACCUACGGCGGAUUACAAGCGAUACGACGACAGCCACAAAUGCAUGACGAACGUUUUAGGAGGCAACAGCUACAGUUUACCACUGAAGACGCAGUGGACUUGCCUGAGUAGGCUUACUAAGAUUUCCACAAAUUUUCCGCGUUCCUGUGGUGAACUGGCUUUCUCCAGGGAAAGUGAAUGACAUUGUGUCGAUGGACAACAGUGAUAUAUUUUUUUAAUAUGAAAAACGGCCUAUACUUUAUACUUAAUACUCAUGCAUAUACUUUACAAUUGAAACUGUGUUUAAAAUGGCCGAUUUGAGAAAAAAGUCUGUGUACAAAUAAAACUAGAUGGCCCUAAAAACAGUAA